GACGAACGCUGGCGGCGUGCUUAACACAUGCAAGUCGAACGGAAAGGCCCUGCUUUUGUGGGGUGCUCGAGUGGCGAACUGGUGAGUAACACGUGAGUAACCUGCCCUUGCCUUUGGGAUAACUUCAUGAAACUGAGGCUAAUACCGGCUAGGAGCUCCUGCUUCAUGGUGGGGGUUGGAUAGUUUCGGCGGUUGGGGAUGGACUCGCGGCUUAUCAGCUUGUUGGUGGGGUAGUGGCUUACCAAGGCUUUGACGGGUAGCCGGCCUGAGAGGGUGACCGGCCAGAUUGGGACUGAGAGACGGACCAGACUGCGACGGGAGGGAGGAGGGGGGAAGAUUGCACAAUGGGCGGAAGCCUGAUGCAGCAACGCCGGGUGCGGGAUGACGGCAUUCGGGUGGUAAACAGCUUUCGCCUGUGACGAAGCGUGAGGGACGGUAAGGGGGAAAGAAGCACCGGCUAACUACGU
Molecule: ribosomal RNA, 467 nt
Filed under: uncultured bacterium
Lineage: Bacteria
Description: partial 16S ribosomal RNA
Rfam family: Bacterial small subunit ribosomal RNA
Source: RNAcentral